RNAcentral lists this ribosomal RNA (422 nucleotides) under uncultured bacterium. RNAcentral describes it as "bacterial SSU rRNA". It matches the Rfam family "Bacterial small subunit ribosomal RNA", at positions 355 to 774 of the family's 1533-position model. The record is from RNAcentral.
UAAGGAAUAUUGGACAAUGGAGGCAACUCUGAUCCAGCCAUGCCGCGUGAAGGAAUAAGGCCCUAUGGGUUGUAAACUUCUUUUAGACGGGACAAAACCCCUUUACGUGUAAAGGGUUGAUGGUACUGUCAGAAUAAGCAUCGGCUAACUUCGUGCCAGCAGCCGCGGUAAUACGAAGGAUGCAAGCGUUAUCCGGAAUUAUUGGGUUUAAAGGGUGCGUAGGCGGACUAAUAAGUCAGUGGUGAAAGCCUGCAGCUUAACUGCAGAAUUGCCAUUGAUACUGUUAGUCUUGAGUACAGUUGAGGUAGGCGGAAUGUGUCAUGUAGCGGUGAAAUGCUUAGAUAUGAGACAGAACACCGAUUGCGAAGGCAGCUUGCUAAGCUGUAACUGACGCUGAGGCACGAAAGCGUGGGGAGCAAACA